CGCACAUUGCACUCCCUGGUAUUCCGGAGAGUAUGCCUGUUUCAGAAUCGACUGAACCUACCUUCCCUUUUCUGGUUCUGGCUUUAAGCGCCAUUGCUAAGAGAAAGGAGAGAUUGAGCCCUUUGUUCUUUAAGUCCAAUGGCUUCAAAUUCAAAAUCCAUUUGCGAAAGCUGUCCAAAGCAGCGCCUACAUCUGUCGUGCAACAAGUUGAUCACAAAGAUGUUGGUAUUAAAGCAUGUUGGAUAAUCAUUUCAAAACAGAAAACAUAGUAUGUCGGUUUCGACCUUGACUGGAAGAAAUAGCAUUACUGUUUUUCUGAUCUUUGAUCUGAAAUCAGGCAAGAAAACCCGCUGAACUUAA
Molecule: unclassified non-coding RNA, 360 nt
Filed under: Umbelopsis autotrophica
Lineage: Eukaryota; Fungi; Mucoromycota; Umbelopsidomycetes; Umbelopsidales; Umbelopsidaceae
Description: partial contains 5.8S ribosomal RNA, internal transcribed spacer 2, and large subunit ribosomal RNA
Source: RNAcentral